Molecule: ribosomal RNA, 253 nt
Filed under: uncultured bacterium
Lineage: Bacteria
Description: partial 16S ribosomal RNA
Rfam family: Bacterial small subunit ribosomal RNA
Source: RNAcentral
UACGUAGGGGGCAAGCGUUGUCCGGAAUCAUUGGGCGUAAAGAGCGUGUAGGUGGCUCGGUCAGCGUGCGGUGAAAGCUCGGGGCUCAACCCCGAGUCGGCCGUGCGAACUGCUGGGCUUGAGCACUGUAGAGGCAGGCGGAAUUCCGGGUGUAGCGGUGGAAUGCGUAGAGAUCCGGAAGAACACCGGUGGCGAAGGCGGCCUGCUGGGCAGUGGCUGACACUGAGGCGCGACAGCGUGGGGAGCAAACAGG